Molecule: long non-coding RNA, 254 nt
Filed under: Fukomys damarensis (Damara mole-rat)
Lineage: Eukaryota; Metazoa; Chordata; Mammalia; Rodentia; Bathyergidae
Description: lncRNA (ENSFDAG00000029817.1)
Source: RNAcentral
GGAGGACGUCCGCCGAGUCUCCCCGCGCUAGUCCCCAGCUCGCUCGCCCGCUCCGCACCGCUGCUCCUCCUCUCCCGCCGCCGUCCCCAGGGGGCGCCGUUCCCGAGAUCAGGACCGACUCCUGCGAGUCAGGCUCCUGUCGUGGCCCUGGCGCCUCGGAAAAAGUUCCGAGGUCCAGAGAAGACCCUCCUCAAGUCACAAGAGAUUCCCCCCUAAAAAAGUGUAAAAGUAAUUGUUUUACUUUACAAUUCUGA